CGGAAGGCCUCGCUUGUCUCCAUG
RNAcentral lists this microRNA (24 nucleotides) under Magallana gigas (Pacific oyster). RNAcentral's name for it is "Mgi-Mir-1994-P1_5p* (star (passenger))". The record is from RNAcentral. Lineage: Eukaryota; Metazoa; Mollusca; Bivalvia; Ostreida; Ostreidae.